AGUGAACGCUGGCGGUAGGCCUAACACAUGCAAGUCGAACGGCAGCACAGUAAGAGCUUGCUCUUACGGGUGGCGAGUGGCGGACGGGUGAGGAAUACAUCGGAAUCUACUUUUUCGUGGGGGAUAACGUAGGGAAACUUACGCUAAUACCGCAUACGACCUACGGGUGAAAGCAGGGGAUCUUCGGACCUUGCGCGAUUGAAUGAGCCGAUGUCGGAUUAGCUAGUUGGCGGGGUAAAGGCCCACCAAGGCGACGAUCCGUAGCUGGUCUGAGAGGAUGAUCAGCCACACUGGAACUGAGACACGGUCCAAACUCCUACGGGAGGCAGCAGUGGGGAAUAUUGGACAAAGGGCGCAAGCCUGAUCCAGCCAUACCGCGUGGGUGAAGAAGGCCUUCGGGUUGUAAAGCCCUUUUGUUGGGAAAGAAAAGCAGCAGGUUAAUACCCCGCUGUUCUGACGGUACCCAAAGAAUAAGCACCGGCUAACUUCGUG
RNAcentral lists this ribosomal RNA (492 nucleotides) under uncultured bacterium. RNAcentral's name for it is "partial 16S ribosomal RNA". It matches the Rfam family "Bacterial small subunit ribosomal RNA", at positions 29 to 507 of the family's 1533-position model. The record is from RNAcentral.